RNAcentral lists this ribosomal RNA (738 nucleotides) under uncultured Nevskia sp. RNAcentral's name for it is "bacterial SSU rRNA". It matches the Rfam family "Bacterial small subunit ribosomal RNA", at positions 57 to 804 of the family's 1533-position model. Lineage: Bacteria; Pseudomonadati; Pseudomonadota; Gammaproteobacteria; Nevskiales; Nevskiaceae. The record is from RNAcentral.
GCAGUCGAACGAGGUAGCAAUUCCUAGUGGCGGACGGGUGAGGAAUACGUAGGGAUCUGCCUUUAAGUGGGGGAUAACCCGGGGAAACCCGGAUUAAUACCGCAUGAUCUCGCAAGAGCAAAGAGGGGGACCGCAAGGCCUCUCGCUUUUAGAGGAACCUACGUCGGAUUAGCUAGUUGGUGAGGUAAUGGCUCACCAAGGCGACGAUCCGUAACUGGUCUGAGAGGAUGAUCAGUCACACCGGAACUGAGACACGGUCCGGACUCCUACGGGAGGCAGCAGUGGGGAAUAUUGGACAAUGGGCGAAAGCCUGAUCCAGUAAUACCGCGUGUGUGAAGAAGGCCUUCGGGUUGUAAAGCACUUUAAGUUGGGAAGAAAAAGCUUCACCUAAUACGUGGAGCCUUGACGGUACCGACAGAAUAAGCACCGGCUAACUCUGUGCCAGCAGCCGCGGUAAUACAGAGGGUGCUAGCGUUAAUCGGAUUUACUGGGCGUAAAGCGUGCGUAGGCGGUUUGAUAAGUCGAUUGUGAAAGCCCCGGGCUCAACCUGGGAAUUGCGGUCGAUACUGUCAGACUCGAAAACGGUAGAGGGAGGCGGAACUCCAGGUGUAGCGGUGAAAUGCGUAGAUAUCUGGAAGAACACCGAUGGCGAAGGCAACCUCCUGGGCCUGUUUUGACGCUGAGGCACGAAAGCGUGGGUAGCAAACAGGAUUAGAUACCCUGGUAGUCCACGCCGUA